RNAcentral lists this ribosomal RNA (266 nucleotides) under uncultured bacterium. Its description in RNAcentral is "partial 16S ribosomal RNA". It matches the Rfam family "Bacterial small subunit ribosomal RNA", at positions 793 to 1055 of the family's 1533-position model. The record is from RNAcentral.
GUCCACGCUGUAAACGAUGAGUACUGGGUGUCGCGGGUAUUGACCCCUGCGGUGCCGUAGCUAACGCGUUAAGUACUCCGCCUGGGGAUUACGGUCGCAAGAUUAAAACUCAAAGGAAUUGACGGGGGCCCGCACAAGCGGUGGAGCAUGUGGUUUUAAUUCGACGCAACGCGAAGAACCUUACCUGGGCUAGACAACGGUGGACCGCGCCAGAGAUGGCGCUUUCCCUUCGGGGACUGCCGGUUCAGGUGUUGCAUGGCUGUCGU